AGUGAACGUUGGCGGCGUGGAUUAGGCAUGCAAGUCGAGCGAGAACCGUAGCAAUACGGGGACAGCGGCGAAAGGGACAGUAAUGUGUAGGUACCUACCCCGAGGUCUGGGAUAGCUGCGGGAAACUGCAGGUAAUACCGGAUAAUGUCUUCGGACCAAAGGCGUGAUUCCACCUUGGGAGGGGCCUGCAUCCUAUUAGCUAGUUGGCGGGGUAAUGGCCCACCUAGGCGACGAUGGGUAGCGGGGGUGAGAGCACGACCCGCGUCAUUGGGACUGAGACACUGCCCAGACACCUACGGGUGGCUGCAGUCGAGGAUCUUCGGCAAUGGGCGAAAGCCUGACCGAGCGACGCCGCGUGCGGGAUGAAGGCCUUCGGGUUGUAAACCGCUGUCGUAGAGGAGGAAAUGCAGGUGGGUUCUCCCAUCUGUUUGACCUAUUCUAGGAGGAAGUACGGGCUAAGUUCGUGCCAGCCGCCGCAGUAA
RNAcentral lists this ribosomal RNA (482 nucleotides) under uncultured bacterium. Its description in RNAcentral is "partial 16S ribosomal RNA". It matches the Rfam family "Bacterial small subunit ribosomal RNA", at positions 28 to 523 of the family's 1533-position model. The record is from RNAcentral.